AUUUCCUGUCAUUAGCGGCCCC
Molecule: non-coding RNA, 22 nt
Filed under: Rattus norvegicus (Norway rat)
Lineage: Eukaryota; Metazoa; Chordata; Mammalia; Rodentia; Muridae
Source: RNAcentral